This 73-nucleotide transfer RNA is filed under the name Plicaturopsis crispa FD-325 SS-3. Its description in RNAcentral is "tRNA-Arg (TCG) (tRNA-Arg-TCG-2-1)". It matches the Rfam family "tRNA". From Rfam's summary of the family: Transfer RNA (tRNA) molecules are approximately 80 nucleotides in length. Their secondary structure includes four short double-helical elements and three loops (D, anti-codon, and T loops). Lineage: Eukaryota; Fungi; Basidiomycota; Agaricomycetes; Amylocorticiales; Amylocorticiaceae. The record is from RNAcentral.
GGCUUCCUGGCGCAAUGGUUAGCGUGUUUGGCUUCGAACCAAGAGGUUGUCGGUUCAAGUCCGGCGGAAGUCU